Molecule: unclassified non-coding RNA, 250 nt
Filed under: Glomeraceae sp.
Lineage: Eukaryota; Fungi; Glomeromycota; Glomeromycetes; Glomerales; Glomeraceae
Description: partial contains 5.8S ribosomal RNA and internal transcribed spacer 2
Rfam family: 5.8S ribosomal RNA (bases 1-65)
Source: RNAcentral
GUGAAUCAUCAAAUUUUUGAACGCAAAUUGCACUCUCCUCGGAGAUUAUGCCUGUUUGAGGGUCAGCCUAUAAAAAUCGACAUCGUUGCUUUUUCGCGGUGGCGUUCGUCGGAAAUGCGUUCAUCAUAAAUCCUGUUGAUUUAGGCGACUUAACAUUUUCUUUUGGUUCCAUGAACGGUUCUAAGUUAUAUUUCUUGACACGUUGAAGGUAUCGAUUUUUACUAGACUUGACUAGCAUAUCGGAUGGCGU